Molecule: unclassified non-coding RNA, 5443 nt
Filed under: Hevea brasiliensis (rubber tree)
Lineage: Eukaryota; Viridiplantae; Streptophyta; Magnoliopsida; Malpighiales; Euphorbiaceae
Source: RNAcentral
GUCUCCUUUUCAAUUGCCCGCCUCUCUCCCUAUCUUAGUCAUAGAUCUAGGCCUUUUGCUUAUCCUGCGCACAUCACAUGGCGCACGUUAUUCAGCUCCCCUGCGAUGGAGAUGGCUUCUGCAUGCGCUGCAAGGCGAAGCCAGCUACUGAAGAAACUCUCAGUUGCUCCACGUGCGCCACUCCAUGGCACGUGAUUUGUCUUUCUUCCCCGCCGGAAACUCUGGCCUCCACUCUCCAAUGGGAGUGUCCGGACUGCUCGGGUGAACCCACUGCCCCUGCAGCUGCUGUUGCCGGCAGUGGAAGUGAGUUGUUGGCCGCUAUAAGGGAUAUUGAGGCAGAUGUGACUCUUACUGAGAAGGAGAAGGCGAGGAAGCGGCAGGAAUUGUUAAGUGGGAAGGUGGAGGAGGAAGAUCUGAAGAAGAAAGAGAAGGGGAAAGAGAAGGAGAGUGAGAGUGAUGUGUUGAAUAUUCUUGAUGAGAGUUUUAAGUGUUCUUUUUGUAUGCAGUUGCCCGAAAGACCUGUUACUACACCAUGUGGCCAUAAUUUCUGCCUCAAAUGCUUCCAGAAAUGGAUUGGACAAGGAAAGAGCACAUGUGCAAAUUGCCGCAAUCAAAUCCCCCCCAAGAUGGCGAGCCAACCUCGAAUCAAUUCUGCACUUGUUGUUGCCAUCCGCAUGGCAAAAAUAUCGAAAUCAAGUACUUCUGGGGGACCUCCUAAGGAAUAUCAUUUUGUCCACAAUCAAAACAGGCCGGACAAAGCAUUUACAACUGAGAGAGCAAAGAGAGCUGGAAAGGCUAAUGCUUGCAGUGGAAAGAUUUUUGUCACUGUUCCCCCUGAUCACUUUGGGCCAAUUCUUGCUGAGAAUGAUCCAGUAAGAAACCAAGGUGUUUUGGUUGGAGAGUUGUGGGAAGAUAGACUAGAGUGUAGACAGUGGGGUGCCCACCUUCCCCAUGUUGCAGGUAUUGCUGGUCAGUCAACUUAUGGUGCCCAAUCAGUGGCCCUCUCUGGAGGUUAUGUAGACGAUGAGGACCAUGGUGACUGGUUCCUUUACACUGGGAGUGGAGGAAGGGACCUGAGUGGCAAUAAACGCACAAACAAGGCACAGUCCUUUGAUCAGAAAUUUGAAAAGUUGAAUGAGGCUUUACGAUUAAGUUGUCGUGAAGGUUAUCCUGUGAGAGUAGUGAGGUCUCACAAAGAGAAGUGCUCUUCUUAUGCCCCAGAAAAGGGUGUGCGUUAUGAUGGUAUUUAUAGGAUUGAGAAGUGCUGGCGUAAGAAUGGAAUGCAGGGCUACAAGGUUUGUAGGUAUCUUUUUGUUAGAUGUGACAAUGUACCUGCUCCAUGGACAAGUGAUGAUCUUGGGGAUCGUCCAAGGCCUCUGCCAGUCAUCAGGGAGUUAGAGAAUGCAAUUGAUAUAACUGAAAGGAGGGGAUCUCCAUCCUGGGACUAUGAUGAGGAAAAAGGUUGUUGGAUGUGGAAGAAACCUCAACCAAGCAGUAGAAAACAGGUUAAUGGUGGAAAUCCAGAAGACAGUGUGAAAAUAAUGAAAGUGAGGCGGCAAGGAAAGAAUGUGCUCAUGAGCCAAAAGUUUCUAAAAGGUGCAGUCUAUCAAAUCUAUACUAGCAACUUCAUUUUUUUCUUCACUCUUACUCAUGUAGCACUAUGGCGUGCUCCCUGACCAUGAUUAGGCCAACGCUAACAGAUUAACAAAGAAACGUUUACUUCUGUUUCAUUCACUAUGCAGAGUUAAGCUGUCAAAUUUGUCAUAAGAUGAUGGCUAACCCUGUUACCACCCCUUGUGCGCACAAUUUUUGCAAAGCAUGCCUAGAGGGUUCUUUUGCUGGUCAAAGUUUUAUGAGGCAGAGGACAUGUCAAGGAAGACGGACGUUAAGGGUGCAGAAAAAUGUUAUGAAAUGUCCAUCUUGUACAAAUGACAUAGCCGACUUUCUUCAAAAUCCACAGGUUAAUAGAGAGUUGAUGGGUGUUAUUGAAUCAUUACAACGCAGAAAUGCAGAGUUUGAAACUUUUGAUGAUUCCACUGAAGAAAGUGAUGUCACGCAUGAGAAAACACAGGCUGUUGCUGACACAGAAAUCUGCAAUAUAAAUGGUGAACUUAAGGAAGAAGCCAAAGCUAACAAUUUGAUGCAUCAAACAGAAACAAAUCCCCAGCAAUCAUGCAAGGAGGGAAGUGAUGGAAAUGACAAGUCAGGCGUUGUUAGGCAGAAGGAAGGGGAAUUACUUGAGCAACCUGAUAAUGUGAAUGGUGAAAUUGAAAUGAAUACUAGCAACUCCAAAAUAGCUGACAGUAAAGAACAAACAACUACUGCCACAGUUGAGCAGACCUACAAGAGAAAAGAUACUAACGAUGAAGAAAGCCAGCUGGCUGGAGUUCAGACCAGCAGCAAGAAGGCUAAAUUGAUGGUGGAACAAUGAAGAGAUGCUUCUUCUGGGUCAUACAAUGAUUUGAUUUACAUGACCAUGGCCUACAGCAUAUGUUUUAUGUGUGGUUGGUGUGAUAGGUAGUUGGUCAUUACUUUAUAUGUAUUGUAAUGGGUGUUUAGUUUUAUCACAGUACAGUUUUAUAUGUAUAUUUUCACAGCUCUUAGGCCAAAGAUUCAGAACUAUUAUUACUGUGAAGUGUGAAUCACCAUACCAAAAACAUUGAGGGGAAAAUAAGGAUGUCUAAGGUUAUCAAUAAGAUAAAUGUUUUAUUCUGGUCAUUGCUUCAUCAUGUUCAAAGAAGCCAAGAGUGGAUAUGAAACUACUAAAGUGUUUGUGAACAUUUAAUAAACUGAUCAUUUCAAUUUCCCAGUUGUAUUCUCUAUUCUGUAAGCAGUACUUUUGAUCUGAACAUCUACUCUGACAGGUCCUCGGAUCAAGAGAGUGCAUGCUCCUAAUAUCUUGCAGGAAAGUUAUAUUACAGGGGCUUUAUAUAAAAUUGUAUUUGCGUUGCCUAAACGACAACUAAAUUAGAGACUAACUUGCCCUUGUGGGAAGUAAGCACGCCAACUAUAUACACACAAAUGUUACUUAUAAGCUAAUUGAAGUAUAUUACAAGUAGUGGUCAGUCAAAAUUGUAUGUGAACCUUUUCACUAUUUAAACAAGGGUGUCAUGUUUGGCUCAUGCUACUAACUAAGAUCCUGGCUGAACUUUUGUUGCUCAAGUUUCUCUACCAAGGCUUUCUUUUCAUCUUCUGGGAGAGAAUUAAACAUGAAGACAGAUUUAUCACCAAUGUCAUCCUUGAUGGGCUGGGUGAACUUCCUUCCAGCAAAUAUCACAAAGAGGGCCAUCCAUGAACCCAAUAGAGCAAGCUUUAGUCCAUCAUCCAUUAAACCUGUCUGCAUAUUUCAAGUGAAGCCUAUCAAGCAAUAGGCGAUCUUUCUAAUUUUAUCAAUUAUAUACAAAAUUUUUCAUAUCGAUAUAAAUUUUAGCAAAAUAUAGGACAUAUGCUAAAACUCUUAAAUCUCAUGUUACCAUCUGAUAUGAUAUAUUAAAAUAUAAGACUCAUAAAAUUUGUCAAUUAUAUUUUCAAACAUUAUUAAUAUUUAGUCCUAUUGACAAAAAAACCUAAAUCUUAACGCGUUUUGAUAAUUUUAUUCAAUUUUUUCAAUUUUAACAAAAUCAGUCAAAAUUUCAAAAUGCACAAAAAUUUUAUUCAAAUUUUUUAAAAUUUUGAAAAUUUGUUGUUAUUUUUUUUAUAUAUUUUUUUACUUCAUUUUCUGGUUUAUCUAACCUUAUUGGUACCAUCAAUCACCUCCAAACUUCAUUUUAACAUUGAUGGUGAAUCAAAAUUCUUAGUCACUUAAUCAAAUUGGAUAGUUUUAAUGUCACACAUACUCUCUCCUCACUAUCAUCAAAUCUCAUCAUUAUUUGAUACUCAAUGGUUAUCAAAAUGAAAUUAUGAAAGAUUUUAUGAAUCUAAUAUAAUGAUGGAUUUUCAAUGAAAGCUAUAAACAAGUAGAAAAAUGAAGCACAAAAUUCGAUUGAGGAAAAUUAGAUAAAGUGCUAACAACUUUUUAAAAUUUUGCCCAUUUUGCCAAAAUUGAAAGAAUAGGAUAAAAUUGGCAAAACGCGAUAAGCUUUGGCUUUUUUCGUCCAUAAACCUAAUAUUUAACAUUGUAAAAUAAAAAAGUAGGUAAAAAUUAUGAAUCUUUUUCGUUAAAUAUGCUAUUGUGAAACUUUUAUGAAUAAAACAUAGGCCAUUUCAGUAAUUUGGUAGUUUUGGCACAUGCAUGCUAUUCCCAGUUUGGCUACAUUUGUUGACAAAUGACAAUAUAAAAAUUUUGUAUAUAAUUGAACUAAAAUUGCUGACAAUAAAUGCAAAUAGGACUAAAGAUUUGAAUUUUCUUCAUUAACCCAAAAUCCAGAGAUUGAUGUUACUGUUGUCUACUAAACAAGUAGACAAAAUAUCAAAGUCAUUUAAUAUUUUUUCAUGACGACAAUAAUUGAAUUAUAGGACAACAGAAGUGGCUAGACAACUACAGAGCCAGCAAUCCACCCAAACCCCCACUUCAAGAAAAUCUAAUCCACAAACCAAAGUACACAGACAGGUAGCCAUCUCUAACCUUUUCCUUUUUUCCAGUUUUCAAGGGGGGAAAAGAGCAACAAAAAGAACAGCAUAAGAGAUGAUUGCGAGAAUAGCCUAGCUAGGCCUAUUCUAAGCAAAAACCUUCAUACUGCGUGUAUUCAUUGCUAUUUGAUGACAUUAGUUUUCGCGGAAAGAUAAAUUGAUGUUUUGAACAAGUUGCAAGAAGGGUACCAGGUGGCCAAGAAGAGCUGCAGGUAUAAUGAAUGUGAGAAUGCCAGCUUCCAGCUUCCCAUAGCAAAGGCCUUCUUUGAAGACAAGUCCUGUCAGCGCUGCAAACAAUGGGCCAACAAACCAGACAGCUGUUGGAUUAUCAACCACAUAAUGUAUCAAGUUUUCGUCAGCUGGUUUAGCAAGGAUUGUGUACGUUGCAAAAGACCCAACAACACCAAGUGCCCAUAAAGCUUGAAGGGUGCGUUUAAUCUCAGUUACAUAGAUGUGAAUCAAAACUAAUGAUAGCCCCAAUCCACCAGCUCCAAGAGUGUAUAGUAGAUCAAGAUUUUGCUUAAUUACUUCUCCCAACAGAGAGUCAUUGGGUAAAAAGGCAUCUGAUGCGGCAAUUACAAAUGCAGAAGCAGCAGUAACCAGCCCCAGUCUAUAUAAAAUCACCUCUCGAACGUCUGAUGGUUCAACCGUCCAGCUACCAUAAGCGCCUUUGUAAACCGUCGGUUGGAUCGAAGGCUUAGAGCUAUCACCAACUGCCUUGCAUUUUAUCGAUCCAUUUCUAAGCUUAAACGACGCCGCCGAUAUGCUGGAUUUCACUGUUGAUUUUACCCGCCAACAGGCGAGUCUUGAAGGAGAGAUUAACGACGCUGACAACGCGAGCAAAGCCAUAAUUGACGACCUCGCCUUCCUCUUU